CACCGCGGUUAUACGAGGGGCCCAAGUCAAUAGAUCUCGGCGUAAAGAGUGGUUAAGAUCACAAAAAACUAGAGCCCUACACCCCCAAGGCUGUUAUACGCACCCGUGGAGUGGAUGAUCUACCACGAAAGUGGCUCUAAUAUAUCUGAACCCACGAAAGCUAUAGAA
Molecule: ribosomal RNA, 168 nt
Filed under: Regalecus glesne (king of herrings)
Lineage: Eukaryota; Metazoa; Chordata; Actinopteri; Lampriformes; Regalecidae
Also listed under: 1 other name
Description: partial small subunit ribosomal RNA
Source: RNAcentral